Long non-coding RNA from Heterocephalus glaber (naked mole-rat), 1674 nucleotides. The record is from Ensembl. NCBI's taxonomy places the organism in Eukaryota, Metazoa, Chordata, Mammalia, Rodentia, Bathyergidae.
CCUUCCUGUGGUACUCAGCUGUUUUUCCUUUUUCACAUUCAUCCUUGAAGUUCUCUUCACUGUGGGAUGAGGUGAUGGAAAAGUCUACAUCCAGGCAGCCUUAUGGAAAGUUAGUAACUGUUCGGUGUUUAAGAUAAACUUGUUAAAAAGGCUUUUGCUUACAGUAUGCAAGUUGUUUUAGAGACUAAAAAAAAAAUCUUCAGGUACACUGAAUGGGAGUUAGGGAUACUUUCUGCUUAUUGUCUUCAUUUUUGUGGAGUUUUUUAAAUUGAUGUUGAAGGUUUGAGGUUAAAAUUUACUUUCGUUGAAAUUUUCUUUUGAGAUUGUGUUUUCCAUUAUUCCAGAAGAAAAGAUUGCUCUAUCAGAGUGAGGUAGUAGAUUGUAUAGUUGUGGGGUAGUGAUUUUACCCUGGUCAGGAGAUAACUAUACAAUCUAUUGCCUUCCCUGAGGAGUAGACUUGCUGCAUUAUUUUGAUUUUUAUCUAGGUGAUAAUUAAAAUUCAGAUGAAUUCAUUUUGACAUUCUUUUGUGUUUACAGUUAUUAGUUGUUAAGUUUCUCUCCAAGUAGAAUGCAGUAAAAACUGAUCUUAAGUUUUAAUUUUCACAUGUGGUGUAUAUAUAUAUUUCAGAAAUUUGAAAAUUAAAGCAAAAAUUUUGGAGAAAGUAAGUACCUUUCAGGAAAUAUUAGUAGAAGACUAGGCCCUUUUGGAAUUAUGAACCGGUGCACUGCCAUAUAUUCUGAUAGCACAUGUCCAGGGUGACAUCUUGGGUAGUAAAGGUACAUACCAACUGGAAGGUCACUGUUUCAGCUAAAUUUGAGUCCAGUUGAUUAUCCAUUCCUACCAUGGUUUUGAGUGGUAUCAGAGAAUGCCGGAAGCACUGCUUCAUUGGUGUGCAGAUUUGGGCAGGCUUUACUUGCCAGCCUGGAGCAGGUGAGGUAAGCUGUGGGUUUUACUUUUGCUCACUGGUAAGUUGCUAAGAAAACUUAAAAGUGGUCCUUCACAAAGGAGGAUCCCCUGAAACUAACACAUGAAAUGCAUUAUCUAUUCCUUUAAAUAUGAGAUGAGUCUACUUAAAUUUUAGCAACCAUGAAGGCCCGUGUUUCAGCUUUCUUUCAGUGCUCAAACCAUAUAGACGCUAUAGCUAAACAAGGGCGAAAGCUCCCUAUUUAAAGUGCUUGUUUAAACUACAUAUUUUGGAUGCAAGAGAAAAGAGGCAAAAUGUGGAGGUAAAGGAAAAGUCACCUCUUCCAUUUAUUUCUGAAUCUUAAAUAUCUCAGAGUCACAGUGUAAUGCCAUUGGCAGCAGAAAUUUUACAGAAAACACAAAACUCGCUUGGAUAGGUCUAACUUAGAUUAUUUAUCCUGGGCCAGAUUUUUUUUUUUUUUUACUUCAACCUUGACAUAAUAGAGGAAGAAUUGGUGGUCCUAAAUUGGAUGUAUAAACACUGGGGAAAACUUGACAUUCAUUGUCUUUUGGUGUGAAAGAAGAACAGAAAUGUGUGGGGAAUUCUUUGGCAGUAUGCAUAACUCACCUGAAAAGUCUUGGUAUUUUGUGUUUUUCUGAACAUGUCUCCUAAACAUGGUUAUUUUCUACUCUCCACUAGGAAACUUAUAUGGAAAAAGUUUAUUUCGGACUGGGGAUUUAGCCCAGUGGUUCACGUCGCCUGCCUUGCA